This is a long non-coding RNA of Diabrotica virgifera virgifera (western corn rootworm), 4624 nucleotides long. RefSeq lists it as uncharacterized. NCBI's taxonomy places the organism in Eukaryota, Metazoa, Arthropoda, Insecta, Coleoptera, Chrysomelidae. The transcript has 3 exons. The record is from RefSeq and is a predicted model, not a curated record.
GUGGCCAUUACUGACAAGUUUUACUGUAAUUGGUUUGGGGAAUUUUUAAACUGGCCGUUAGUACAGGUGGCCGGUGUUUGCAGGGGGCCGGUAACACAGGUUUUACUGUAGUUUAAAUCGAAAAGAUUAAAUCUUAAUUCAAAAUUGUAUAUACAAUUAUUACAAUUAUAAACUAUAGUUUAAUAUCCAAAACAUGUUUUUGAUUUUAUGUAAUGUAAUGAAAAUCUUAUUUGUAAAUUAUUGGUUACAUAUAUAAUGUUUAACAAUAGGAAAUAUUCAAGAAUAAAUAAAAUAAAAGUUUAAUCCUAACAACACAAAACAUUCCAGGAAUGUAGGUACUACCGUUCUAUUCCGUGAACAUCUAUCUGAUUAAAUUAUGGGUGGAAAGUUACCACAAGAUAUAAAUGUCUUCCUGGAGGGGUAAAAUUUUCCAUUACAAGAUUUUAAGAGAGGCCAUUUACUGUUCAAUUUGCGUUCAUUUUCAAAUUUGCCGCGCGAAUAUCUAUGUAGCGUCGUGUGGUCAUUGGUCAUCACAUUUCAUAUAUUUCAUUUUCGUUAUAACCGAUAACCUAAAAAUUUAGUAAAAAUUUUGAUUGGAAAAAAAUGCAUCGAUAAGGGGGUGUGGGAAAUGGAAGAAAUUAGUGGCUUUUUUGCUGUACUGUCUACUAGUUUUUGCUCUGGGCUCUGGCUGGAUCUCUUGUUUAAACAAUUUUAAUCAGCUGAAAGUGGUCUACAAAAAAAACCAAGAAGGAAAUGUAUAGCCUUGUGGCUAUGAAAGGCAAAAGAGAGAUAUAAAAAGUGUAUUGGCUAGUUGGAAGAAAGUCCACAUUGUCCAUGCAUAAUAAGUUAUUACUUUAUCAACAAAUAUCAAGAAGAUAGCAGGAAGUCACGAGCAACACGAGCAAUUGAACAACUUCAUAAGUUCAAGAAUAUUGAGGAAAUCCAGCUUCUCGAUACUACUGGGCAAACUAGAAGAUUGAAGAGGACAAAGCCUUUUGAACUAGUUUGAGUGAUAGGUGAUAGUGAAAAACGGAGCAUAGUGCUUGUGUGCUGUGCCUGUGUAUGUUAGAAUAGUGCACGAUCUUGUUAGAUUAGAUAAGAGACGCUAUGGGGUAAGCUCUUCAUUUUAAGAAACAGUAGUAAUUUAGGUUAAAUUAAAAUUGCUCAUUGGUCAGUUAUGACCAGAUUGUUUUUUUAUGUUUGGCAAAAAGGACUUAAGUCAGAAUUGCACAUUGAUAAUGUUUUGAUGAUUUCUGGACCAGAAAAAAACUGUUGUAGAUGUAAACUGUAUGUACAGUAGAAUCUACUACAGUACUGUAGAAAUCAUCAAAACAUUAUCAAUGUGCAAUUCUGACUUAAGCCCUUUUUCCCAAACAUCAGAGAAUUGUAAUGUACAAUAAUUCUCCUAUCUGCUUUUUCAUGAAUUUUGUAGGAGACGAAAAACCAUUUUUAGGAUCAUCUGCUUUCACAUGUAAAUUUUGACAUGUUUUGUAGUAAAUAGAUACUUAGUUGAAUUUACUACAAAACAUGUCAAAAAAUAUAUGAAAACAGGAGGUGACUAUAAAAAAAGUUUUUAGUCUCUCUUACAAGACUCAUGAAAAAACAAAUCGGAGGUAUGUCACAUCUGUGACUAUAUCCAGGGAAUGUCUAAAAAAUAUACUUUGAUGUCCCAAGAACCAAAUAUAACCUACAGUCCAUCUAAUUUACUUACUGUUGCACGUCAUUAUCUACGCCAGAGAUCUAAGUUGACAUAGUUGCCAAAGUAUAAAAAGAUCCUGAACCCAUUUUAAAUAAAAUAUAUCACAUAAUUAUUGUAAACGUGGAUUAUACAACAAAACAAAUUAAUAUUCAAUGUAAAUAAGUAAAAACUUAAGAAAUAGAGAACAAGAAUUAAGUUAUAAUCUUUUAAGAUUUGCAGUGCAAGCCUUUUUGCACUACAUUGUUAAUAAUUAAAAAACGGCUCCGAACUCUUGGCAAAAAGCCGGUAGGUUUCUUUGUAUAAGUAUGUCUACAAUAACAACUAAAAAAGUUGUCAGAUACCUCGAUGAUUAUUCCAAGUCGUUAUAAAAUUAGGUGAAAUUUAUAUUUUUAUAGUAGAGGAUCUUUUUAUAGUAAAGUAAAUAAUAAAGACAGUAAAUAUAAUAAAUAAAACAGAUACUUAUAGUAAAGAAUAUAAACAAAUAUGAAGUGUCAUCACCACAACUGGCAAAUAAAUGUUACCAAUUUAUUCUAAAAUGUCACCUUCGUUCGAUUACAGUUACAGUGUGAUCCGAACAAAUCUGCUUCAUAAAAACGCUUUAUAAUCCAUUUAUACAAAUUAAAUGAAACAUAUUAUUGUGUAUUUCUUUAGGUUAACAUUAAUAGAAAUCUUCAAAUAUUAUUUCUACGCGUAUAUAAUAAAAUAUGUCUAGAGUCUGUAUUUCCAGUGUACUCAGCAAAGUGAUUCUAAAAAAGAACACACCUACCGCCUAAAUAUUUCUUGUUGGUAUCAUGAGACCUCACAGACUACGACGCGGAUGACGCACAACAGUUAGUAAAUUAGACAAAGUAUGUAGAUAUAUACAGGGUGUAACAAAAAUACAGGUCAUAAAUUUAAUCACAUAUUCUGGGACCAAAAAUAGUUUGAUUGGACCUAACUUACCUUAGUACAAAUGUACACACAAGAAAAGUUGCAGCCCUUUGGCUGCAACUAUCUUACGAAAAAACUAUAGUAAAAUUUGGACACCCCAUAAAAAUUUUAUGGGGGUUUUGUUCCUUUAAACCCCCCCAAACUUUUGUGCACGUUUCAAUUUAAUUAUUAUUGUAGUACCAUUUAAACACAACGUUUUAAAAACUUUUUUGCCUCUUAUUGCUUUUUCGAAAAGUCAAUUUUUAUCGAAAUAUUUUGAACAUUUGUCAAAUCCACCACAUAUUUGUAUAUGGUUAAGUACGAUUAUGGAGACUUGGUAAUAAUAUGCAGACUUAUUUAUGCUUUACAUUUUUAGGUAUAUUUUGAACCAUAUUAAAAAAGAAGCCAGAUCUCGAUAAAAUGUGCCUUAUCGAAAAAAUACAAAGAGGCAAAAAAGUUUUAAAAACAUUCUGUUUAACUAAUGGUACCUCAGUAAUAGUUUAAUUGGAACGUACACAAACAUUUGGGGGGUUUAAAGGAACAAAACCCCCAUAAAAUUUUUAUGUAGAUAUGUUAAAAAAGAAGUCGCAACUCGAUAAAAACUUCCUUAUCUGAAAAAUACUAAGAAACAAAAAUAUUGAAUUUAACUAAUGGUAACUACCACAAUAAUAAAAUUGAAUUGGAACGUACACAAAAGUUUGGGAGGAUCUAAGGGAUCAAAACCCCCAUAAAAUUUUUAUGGGGUGCACAAAUUUCACCAUAAUUUUUGUUUAAGAUAUUCCUGCCAUAAUACUGCUACAUGUCCAUUUUCAAUAAAAAAUCGCUAAUAGUUUUCGAUGUAAUCGAAAAAAUCGAUUUUCAUUUUGUAAUUUCAAAGGGCUGUAACUUUUUUUAUGUGCAUAUUUGUACUAAGGUAAGUUAGGUUCAUUCGAACUAUUUUUGGUCCCAGAAUAUGUGAUUUAAUUUAUGACCUGUAUUUUUGUUACACCCUGUAUAUACAGCCGAUUACGCACCACCUUAAAAUUUGGGCAUUUUUGAUGUCUCGAAUUUCCUAAACCUGUUGUUGCAUCUAAGUGAUUUUUUUAUAAUAUUCUAGCCUAGGCCCUAGGCUAUAGGUUAAGUACCUCCUUAUGCUUGUCAUGCACGGGGAGCUAUACUGUAAUAUAUAUUAUAUCACAUCGCUCUCUAUAGUAAUGAGUGAGCCUGUACAUACGGAACCAUUUGUUUAAGGUUUAAUACCCCAUAUUUAAGGUGGUGCGUUAAUUUCUUGGAGAAGUGUAUUGUAAUUUAAUGUAAAUAAUGUAAUAUCCAAUAAUUGUAAUUUAAUAUAAGAUGUAAUAUAAGUUCCUUAAAAAAUAUAUUUUUUAUUUCCCACGACAUUAGAUGGAUGUUCGGCAGCAAGACAUUGGACCAAACUGGGACGUCCUAUGAAGGCCCAAUUGACAUCCACUGAACGUCCCUUCAGAUGUUAAGUGGACCUCCAUUGGACGUUUGGCAACGUGGCAUUUGGACCAAAAUUGGACGUCCUGUUAAUGUCCAAUUCACGUCCCCUAGGACGUCCGGUUAAGGUCCAAUUUACUUCCGAUUAAGGUCCAAUUUACGUCCGAUUAAGGUUCCAUUUACGUCCGAUUAAGGUCCAAUUUACGUCCUAUUAAGGUCCAAUUUACGUCCGAUUAAGGUUCAAUUUACGUCCGAUUAAGGUCCAAUUUAUGUCCUAUUAAGGUCCAAUUUACGUCUGAUUAAGGUCCAAUUUACGUCCGAUUAAGGUCCAAUUUACGUCCCCUAGGACGUCCGAUCAAGGUCCAAAUUACGUCCGAUUAAGGUCCAAUAUACGUCCCCUCGGACCUUAGAUGGACGUCCAAUGGACGUUCGGUAGCGCGACAUUUGGAACAAAAUAGGACGUAUAAAGGACGUUCCUCGGACGAAAACGGACGUCCAAUGGACGUCCCUAAAGUCCGUGAAGGACGUCCAAUGGACGUCCAUUGGACGUCCUUGUGCUAUUAGGGACAGGGUGUC